AAUAGAAUAAAGGAAGGUCAACUAAAACGUUUCUAAAAUAUCCUGGAAUUAGCCUAAAAUAUUAAGAGUGUCUGUCUGGAGUUGCUAUAUAAAACGGAAAGAAAACAGCACCAUAUGUGCGUGCGUUGGGGUUAAAGUGUCGUGUUACCUUCAAGGAUUUUAUCAUAAAACAGGGCUGUAUCGUUUACGAGAGCCAACAUGUAAUGUUUAAAGGGCAUGUGAGAUGAGCUUCGAUUGUAAAUUACUGUCUGUGUGAUGGGCAAAGAUGGCAGAAACUGAUAAGAGCGUGAUACGAAACAGAUGAGUUCAAGCGAUUUACUUUGGAAAAUUACAUUAAGGAAUAACUUAGAAGAGAUGCUCUUUUAAUAUCUAAGACUAUGUCUUUUAAUACCUUAGCAGGUUUCUCGUAGUAUUUAAGAAAACUGAUGAGAUACUGACCAGUACCUGUCACUAAACAAACGUUGGUGAAAUGGUCUUGAGGAUCUGAAGGGAGAAACUUUGGCGCUGUUUCUCCGCCCCUCAGCUAAUGCUCUCACCUAAUCCAGCGCGCCACAGCGGACCAGGCGCGCAGUCCGAUAAAUCUGGAUGCGUAAACCUUUUAGACAAGUUGUUUUAUGAAACACUAGCGUCAACCAUCUAAGUUCAUGUUUUGAUCUGUGAAGGGUCGUGUUUACCUCGUUCAGCUGAGUGAACGAGAAAGGUGACGUAUGAUCCUCAGGCAGCUCAUCAAAAAGGUCUGGCGACAGCAACGUCUCUGUAGAAGAUUGUAAUAAACGAAUGAUUUCAAGGACGUGGACAAGGACUGAGAUGCUGAGAGUGGAGAGGAAGAGUGACAUAAAGAGGAAAGAAGUUCAUUACCCAGCUGAAAAGGAGGCAAAUGGCUUUCAUAGUCGCCAUGGGAACAGGGCUUUCUCUCCCUGACAAACCUAUAAUAAGGUUGACCCUGACCUCUGUUGGUCAGAAGCUACUGAGAGAUCAAGUGCAUUGUUGAUUCCUGCUGAGCAGCUCAGAUCUGUUCUUCUGCUGUAAGGGCAACCGCCUAGGCCACGACAAACCACUGAGGACAGUGAUAAACAUGUCUCUUAAUUGACAUACACGCACAUUCUCUCAGUUGCUUCUCUGUCAUAUGCUGUGGUGUUUUUCAGGAGCUCCAGCAAUCUUGGCUGAAUGCGAUGGCUCCCAGUGCAGGGAGGGCUCGGCUCGGCGCUGCUGCGGAAUGGAAGACUGCCGCUCGCCUGCCCUUCUCUCUCUCGUCUCAGCUCAAAGCGGCACGGUUUGAGAGUCUUACCCGGCUCUCUCCAGCUAAACAGUCUGCAGGACCCUAAAGAUGCAGAGGGAAGGAUUUAGAAGAGCGGCUGUGCAAUGGUGAACAGAUUCAUCCCCAGGCACCCAAUCCAUUAUCCUGUCAACAACAGCAGGUCCCUGCCACAGUUAGCAGCAACACUGGCCGUAAUGAAAUCAUCAGUAAUCCCAAAACUCAUCUCAUCAUACCCAAGGUAAAAGUGCUUAUCUUUUCUUGGACUGUAUGAUAACAUGACAAAACAGUUAAACAACAGGCUGUGGACCUCAGUGGAAGACACAUGCUCUAGUAUACAACAGUGAAUUACCUGUAGUAGCCUACAUUUUCCUGCAGGUAAUGGAAUUUGACUUGAGAAAAUCAAAGAAAUGGAUAUGUGGAUUUUCAUUGAGGGAAAAAAUAUUCAGUUUUUACACUGUCAGAUGCUGAAACUAUUUGAUUUCAGCUCUGUUUCUGAUUUCCUGUAUUAAAAAAAGUCUUAAAUUCGCUGGGAAAUGAAAUUAAAAACCGGAAUCUCAUGUUUAUAUUCGCUGAGAAAUGUAAACUGCGAAAUUAAUUUUUAUUUAUUUAUUUAUUUAUUUUUUAUAAUUAUUUUUGACAAACAGGAUCAUGGAUCAGGAUAAUUUAUAUGGCUAACGGAAAAUAUUUUUUUCUGACGCAUUCGAGCAAUAGUGGCUUUGAGUCCCAUUGUUAUUCAAUCGGUAGGCUAUAUCCUCUGCAAGUGAUCGAGCAAAAGUUCUUAGCGCGCUUUACAAACUUGAUGAGAAUGGACAAUGUCUUGUAAUAUUUCUGUAUUCAAAGCUGGUUUAUAAUUAAAUAUUUAUUAUUCAUAUAGUUUGUUUCGAUUGCAGCAUUGAAACGCGCCUAUUAAUCAACUUAAAAAAAAAUCCGUUAGAUAGCCUAUAUGAGAAAAAAGGUGCAACAUGACAUCAAGUAGCACGUUUUUUUUGUUCACGUAGGCUAUUAGUGACUCAAAAUACCUCAAAUAAAUUAAAGUAAAAUAAGCUAAAAAAUAGCAUUGUCCUUUUCCUAUAAAUUAGUUUUACAGCACUUCUGAUUUAAUUUUAAAGACCGAACUCAUAUGCUUCAAGUAAAAAAACAGGAUAUCAUUCCAGUAGUGCGCAGUGACAUCUGAAAGAAGGUCAAACUCAAGCCUCCUUUCUUUAAUUGACCAGUGAAUAUUAUUUUACCAGUGUCAGAACCAGAGGGGACGCAACCAUUCAGCGAAAUACAAUAGGAAUAACAGACCGUGCUGAAAUUGCAUCUUCAUUUGCAUAUUCGGUUCAAAAAUCAUGCAAAUCCCAAAUGAGACGGUCUUUAUUGUGCCUGCAAUUGAAAAAUCAUUCUGUUAACCAUGGUAACUCUGGCCUUAUUCGUAGCCAGUCAGUUGAAACAAAAAAGUUAUUAAUUCAUACGGUAUGACGUUUAAAUGGACUCCGGGGCAAUGGUUAAUGGUUUGGCGACAUAUAGCCUAUAUUUGAUCUCAUAAAUGGGAGGUGAUGAUUAAAUUAAUAUUUAUUAUUAUUAUUAUUGUUUCGUUUUGGCUGUAGUGUUCAACGUAUUAUUGUUCUAUUCAUAUUUUGUUACACAAAAUACAUGUAGCCUAAUAUUAUUAUUAGGCUAUAAUUUUUUCCAAAAUGUAUUGGGCUAUUCACAACUAUUCGUAAUGUUUUUAUAUAGCCUAUCCUUUAUAUAAAUUGUAUCUUAUGUUUUUACGUUUUUUUUUUUUUUUUAUCAAGUACAAAUAGUAAAAAGUAUUGCUGUAUACAACAAUGCCUCUUUACAGGAAUAAAAACCAUUUAAAAUAUUUAUAGUUUUCCCGCAUAAUUUUGGCUCGUGGGUGUGUCGCGUGGAAGAUUAUUAGACUAUCAAGUUCACUUAUUUAAACUUUGUAGAGCGCGUACAGCACCUGAUUAGGCUGUACCCUUAUUAGAGUCGAAAAACAGUGUCUUUUGUGGCUCUGCGUGCGCUUUGCUAUAAUUUACUUCCACUUUAAUUGUUUAGGUUGAGCUAAUUAACAAGUGAAUCCACGGGCUCGGAAAAAAAAGGACUUUACACGCUGAUAAAGAAUAGAAGUCCUGUGGUGAUUUAUUGUUAGGAUAUUGUUGGUAUUUAAAUAGUUCAGCUAAUAAAAAUCUUAUAGGCUAUCUUAAAUUUCACAGCUCAAACAUGUGACACAAGUCAGUAGGCUAACGAACUGAUAUUUAUCAAUGACACGGAUAAAUAGUUUUAUAGAUUUGCAUUUACCGUUUAUUUUUGAGUGAUAAUUAACACACAAUGGCAUCCUUAUUGUAUUUAUCUGCUGCACAGUGACAGUUUUAGACUAUUCGGGUCAUUUGAACAGUGCUUAUUGCCUGCUACACUAAUGGACAAUUCACUGCUCGGCCAUCACACACGUGAGUGAUUUUCGGAAGCCUUGUGGCUCGGAGCUCAAUGAUGUUGAACACUGGGAGGCUUUCCUGGUGGUCCUCGGCCUUAGCUCACGUUAAUUGGGAAAUUUGGAGAACAGGAGCCCUCAUUACCGAGCUCCGGGUAACUGGGAGUUUUCCUUUUCCCGCUGUCUCCUACAUUUCCAUAAGCAGAUUACAAGAGGAUAUGUUCCUGAAACCACUCGGAUAAAUCACCGGUUUCGUGGAAUAAGUCUCUAAUUAGAACUUUUGUCAUAACGGCUGCUGCACCGCUAUUCAUAUUAAUGUAAAGUGAUUAAUGAUGUUCUAAAUUAAGAUUUUACUUUUUUUGCCUCCCGUGAAAACAACGGGGAAAAGAUCCACUGUUUUUGUUUUUCUCCUUGAAAAGUAGAAUUAACUUUCAUUUGUCAGUGAAAAUUUGGUUAUUUCUAUAGCCUACAAAUCACAGUAGGCUAAAAGACACUGUUAGUGUUUUAUUUGAUGUGACAAAUUAACUUGACUAGGCUAUAGGAAAAAAAAAUACUGCCGAAAUAAAAUCUUAGGAUAGCCUACUAUAAUUAAAUAAUUUAACGGGCAACGAUUUAUUAUUUUUUCUUUAUAUUAUAAUGCUUAAUUAGUACACCAGCCUAACCAGUUCACUCUUUCAAAUUGCCCUGUAAUGAAAUUCUAUGAUGAAUAAUUUAUGCCCUGCUUGUAAACCUCGGGCCUGAAUAACAACAUCGGGUAACAACACUCGCACUUGUUAAGAGUAGGCUAGUUUGGAAAGUAAAUAACGGAGACGUGUUGGUGUGCAUGUCCUACAAAUCGGUCCCACACGGUGAAACUUCUCUAAAUGGCCGAGUCGUUAGUGUGUGGUGUUAAAAGCCCAUCGUGAAUAUUCAGUAGGCUACUACUGUAAUCGUUCAGUCUCAGUGGCGGUGAAUGUGUUAAAUGGCGAUGUUCUCGAUGGACUAUGUGCUAAUACUGAUCCAUUGGAAGGUGUAAAUUCUCCCCGGGAGACAGAAACCUCUCCCAGCAGAAACGCGUCUUAGGACUCGAGUCAUUUGUAAAUCACAUAAUAAGUCGCGGAAUGAUCGCUAUUGACAGUAACUGGUGGUGUAAAAAUGUAAUAAUUAACGUACACUCCACACUGGCGUGGCUGUUGUAAAAAGUUGUUUUUAGAGGAGAUGUUUGUAGCUGCUUUUUGAUGUUUUUUUUUUUUUUUUUGCUUCAGAACAAUAUAGUAUUGGUCCACAGGGGGGCGUUACUGUAUUAAUUUUCUAUUCACUAUGUCGUCGUUGACACUUGACAAAAAGAGUAUUUUUUAAAAACAACUGUUUUUGUUGAAUGUUUGUCUUUACACAAUUAUAAUGUAAUAAUGUUAUAAUGCAAUAACAAGCUAUGCUGUUAAAUGAAAGUUAUUAAAAAAUUAUGAGACAAAGAAUUAGUUUUAUGUUAAAAUCGUAAUUAGUGUCAGUUUUAGAAGCUUUAAUUCCCACAUUAAAUUUAUGUAGGAGAUUCUUAUUUAAUAAUAAUAAUAAUAAUAAGUAAAAUCCUAUAUUAAUGGUG
Molecule: RNA transcript, 5253 nt
Organism: Onychostoma macrolepis
Lineage: Eukaryota; Metazoa; Chordata; Actinopteri; Cypriniformes; Cyprinidae
Gene: p2ry4
Gene name: pyrimidinergic receptor P2Y4
Exons: 8
Source: RefSeq, a predicted model, not a curated record